This 557-nucleotide unclassified non-coding RNA is filed under the name Hevea brasiliensis (rubber tree). The record is from RNAcentral. Lineage: Eukaryota; Viridiplantae; Streptophyta; Magnoliopsida; Malpighiales; Euphorbiaceae.
UGCUAUGGCCAUCAGAGCUUUGCCCAAUCAACAUUCUAUCCAAGUAAGAUAUGUUGGUGGGGAGUGCCUUUGUGCAAUUCAGUAUAAUUUGUUGGUGGGAUUAUUGAACAAACAAGCUACAAAAAUGGAAGUUGAGGAAUCUUAUUCAUCAUUUAGCCAUGUUCAAGAUGUCUAUCUCUUGCCUUAUGAAGUAAAGAUUGGUCGCAGAGUCUUAGAAUUGAAAAAUUGCAAUCAUUUACUGCCCAAAGAGACUAAGUUUGAAAUUAGGAGAAGGCAGAGGAAGAAAAUGUGUUUCUUUGGAUAUUACUAUCGUCUACUGCUCGAAGGGAAUGAGUUUGAAAUGAGGAGAAGGCAAAGGAAGAAAAUCAGGGCCUUGCUGCAACUAUUCGUUUGCCCAAUGACUCUCCAAGUUGCUGGUUCCAGUGUUAUAUUGCUGCAACAGAGGUUGCAACCAAUGCUCACCAACAAAGCUCUGGCUGAGGUACCAGCUGAGAUUGCAACCUUCAUUCCUUUAGGCUCAUUUCUAGAUUUUCAACCUUCUUGGGGUCAAGAAGGUU